Molecule: non-coding RNA, 69 nt
Organism: Cinara cedri
Lineage: Eukaryota; Metazoa; Arthropoda; Insecta; Hemiptera; Aphididae
Source: the annotation of a GenBank genome assembly
UCGGCCGUCAAAAUGGAUGUGAAGUGUUGUUUAUUUAUGUUCAUAUCACAGCCACUUUGAUGAGCCGAU